RNAcentral lists this ribosomal RNA (468 nucleotides) under uncultured bacterium. Its description in RNAcentral is "partial 16S ribosomal RNA". It matches the Rfam family "Bacterial small subunit ribosomal RNA", at positions 28 to 507 of the family's 1533-position model. The record is from RNAcentral.
GACGAACGCUGGCGGCGUGCUUAACACAUGCAAGUCGAACGGAAAGGCCCUGCUUUUGUGGGGUGCUCGAGUGGCGAACGGGUGAGUAACACGUGAGUAACCUGCCCUUGACUUUGGGAUAACUUCAGGAAACUGGGGCUAAUACCGGAUAGGAGCUCCUGCUGCAUGGUGGGGGUUGGAAAGUUUCGGCGGUUGGGGAUGGACUCGCGGCUUAUCAGCUUGUUGGUGGGGUAGUGGCUUACCAAGGGUUUGACGGGUAGCCGGCCUGAGAGGGUGACCGGGCACAUUGGGACUGAGGUAGGGCCCAGACUCCAACGGGAGGCAGCAGUGGGGAAUAUUGCACAAUGGGCGGAAGCCUGAUGCAGCAACGCCGCGUGCGGGAUGACGGCCUUCGGGUUGUAAACCGCUUUCGCCUGUGACGAAGCGUGAGUGACGGUAAUGGGUAAAGAAGCACCGGCUAACUACGUG